AUGUUUGGGUUCUGGUGCCCGUACAGCGCGGACGGCAGCGCGGCCCCGCUCCCGCCCCCAGCUCCCGUCCCAGUCCCGUCCCCGCUCCCGGUCCUGGCCCCGGCCCCGACGGGCUCCCACGACGGCUCCGCAGUCGCUGCUCGCCUCCGGGCCCUGCUGGCCCCGCAACCGCCGCCCGCUCCGAGGCGCCCGGACACGGCCCCCGGAGCCCCCCCGCGAUGCCCGGGACGGAGCCCGGCGGGGGGGUCCCGGCGCCGCCGCCCCCCGGUCCCUCUUUACGCCGCCCGGCGCUGCGACCCAGCGGCCCUGGGGGCGUCCGGGGGGAGCCCUGGGGAGCAGGGGGGCUGCGGUCAGCCCCUCCGCUGCGGCUCCGCAGCCCUCCGGUCCUCCCCCGCCGCCCUACCGGGCUCUGCCAUCCGCUUCCCCAUGAGCCCCACGAAGAAGUCGUGCAUGUCCCCUGCGGAGAGAGCCCGGCGUCAGCUCCCACCGGGCCCGGCCCCGCUCCGUGCCCGCACCGGGGCCCCCCCUCGGCCGCCCCUGUGGGGCUGGCACCGUCCGGGAGCGGAGCGGAGCGGACUUACGCUUCUGGGAAGACGCCAGCGCCGGGGGACCUGGAAGAGAAGCGGGAGGCUGAGCGCUGCCGUCGGGGUGGGGGCCGGGACCGGGGCCGGGACCGGGAGCGCCCCCCCGGCUCUCACCGGCGUCCUCCUCCCGCAGCAGCUGCAGCAGGGCGGCGAAGGCGGCUCCGGGGCCGCCGCGGGCUCUCCAGGGCAGCACCGGGAGCAGCGGCUCGGGGCCGGGGCCGCUCUGCGGGGAAGCGGGGGGGUGAGCGCGGGCGGGGGCCGCCCGGUGCCUCCCCGACGGCCGCCCCGACGGCUCGGCCCUACCUGGGAGCGGAGCGCGGGGCCCGGCGGCGGGGCGGCGGCGAAGCGGGCGAGGGCGAGCGGCAGGGCCAGGGCGAGCAGGGCGAGCACCGCGCGGCUCCGCAUCCUCGCCGGGGUGGGCGACCUGCGGGAGGGGUCAGCAGCGGCCGGGGUCGCCCCUCGGCCCCCUGGACGGCGCGGACCGGGGCAAGGUUUUGGGAGGGGAAAGCAGCGGAACGAGAGAUGGGGGCCCGGGGGCAGCCGGCGUUGCCAGAGCAGUCGAGCAAACGCCCCCCAGCCCUUUCCAGCUGGGGGGGCUGCGGCACGGUGGGGGCAUGAAGAAAAACGGGGAGGGGGGGCAAGGGGGACGCGGUGGGGGGCUGCAGUGCAAGAGAUGUACUGCAGAGGUGCUGGGGGGCGGGACGGAGAGCAUAGCUGCACUGCAGAGCUGGGGGUCCUGUGCCAGGACUCGUGCCCAUUGUGCCGGGUUUGUGCCGCCACACGCCAGCUGGGGUGGUGGAAACGCGUGCAGGAUGGAGCACAGACACGCAGAGAUCACAGGCACCCACUCAGCCUUGCACACGUUCACAGACACCCACAGCAACACACACACCCUCCCCCCAGGAAGGUCCCAGCCCCAGGCUUCCAGCGACCCCCCAAGCCCUCCCCACCUUCCUUCACCCCUCUCUCCUCUCAGCCCAGCUCUUGCUGCAGCUUCCAGCUCCCUUUCACCUUCCCCCAGCCCACGCUGGGCAAGGAGCGGAGGCAGUGGCCUCUCCAGGAGACCCCAUGGUACCUGGCACGGCUUUCGGGGACCUGCUCAGCCCUCAGCUGCAGUGCGGGCAGCGCGUCCCUCGCCUCUGGUGGCUGCGGAGCGGCAAGAGGCAGUGGGCAGCGGCCGCAGGCUGUGCCGACGGCUCUCGGGCACGCUCAGCCUGGAGGUGAAGCACCCCAGCGCUGUCAGCCGCGCGGAGCUAAAUAA
This 1845-nucleotide long non-coding RNA is filed under the name Cairina moschata (Muscovy duck). Its description in RNAcentral is "domestica (muscovy Duck (domestic type)) lncRNA (ENSCMMG00000005764.1)". Lineage: Eukaryota; Metazoa; Chordata; Aves; Anseriformes; Anatidae. The record is from RNAcentral.